RNAcentral lists this non-coding RNA (29 nucleotides) under Rattus norvegicus (Norway rat). The record is from RNAcentral. Lineage: Eukaryota; Metazoa; Chordata; Mammalia; Rodentia; Muridae.
UACUAUUGCGGGACCUCCACUGUCACAGG